Molecule: long non-coding RNA, 477 nt
Filed under: Capsella rubella
Lineage: Eukaryota; Viridiplantae; Streptophyta; Magnoliopsida; Brassicales; Brassicaceae
Description: long non-coding RNA (CRUB_LNC005061)
Source: RNAcentral
UGAUGGCCACCAGGGCCGGUCCAGGGCGGAAGCCCAACAAACAGCUGCUUUAGGCAUCAUAUUUGAAUUGAUCGGUAGUGUAGUGGUUUAUAGCUGCGAGUGUUUCCUCUGGUCUAAGGUUCGAUUCUGAUGGAGUAUGUUUUCUAACUUUUUUUUUCCAAAACGAUUUUUUACUUUUUUUUCUUCCUUAUUUACUAUAACAAUACGUGAUCUAGACUCUAAUAUUCUAAUCUUUUUUGAAUCUAUUAUAUUAAUUAAUUAUAAAUUGUUUUACUAAAAUAAUUAGUUACUAAACCUAAUUUUGUUUUACAGAGACGCUUUUCUAGUUUGCUUCUUCUUCAAUCUUCAAUUUUUCAUGGUCAAUCACCAAUUCACCACCAAGCUACAAGGUAGUUUUUUCUCACCAAUCUCUAAAACCAGUUUCUCUUUUAUAUUCUUAUCUCAUGUAUGUCUUUUUAUAUCAUAGAUUUAACAAAC